GCCCACGCCGGGGCCCGCUCCUCGCGCGGUGCCGCCUCGGCGGUGGCGGCAGUGGCGGGUGCGCAGCCCAGCAGCACAGCGGUGGCGCGACCCGCGAACGGGCUCAGCUCGGCGAAGCGCUCCUCCAGCAGCCCGGCCUCCGAGGGGUCCGCGCACAGCUCCAGCGCGCGCAGCUCCAGCGUGCCCCCCAGGUAGCGGCCCCGGGACCCCGGCUCGUCGCUGUCGUCGUCGUCGUCCUCGUCGUAGUCGGGUGGCCCCAGCGCGGGCCCCAGCGCCCCAGGCCCGGCCCCCGCGUGGGGGGAGCAGCACGACGAGGAGGAAGAGGAGGGUGGGGAGCCGCCGCCGCCGCCGCCGUCCUCGCCGCGGGCGCAGCCAAAGCGCGGCUCGCCGUCCACCGCCUUGGUGAUGAGCGUGGCGAGUCCCAGGGAUCACAUGCUGGGCCUCCGUAUACUGAGAGCCUUUGCUGUCAGUGACCACAGAAAGGCUGGAGUGGGCGCCCGGGCCAGCACUAGGCUCAAUCAACAGUUACUUUUGUCAUCAAGCACGGGCCUCAGGAGUCUGGAGUGAAAUGGGCAGAAAGAGCCAGAAUAUGAAAACUUCUUCGAGGGACGCCUUCAGAUUGAUGGAGGCAGGAAGACAGAUCAGGCCGGACCUCAUCUCCGAGGAGAGAAGUGGAGCUCCAGUCCUUCUAUUCCUCCAUCUUAAUCCAAGAUCGCAGGAAGUUGUUGCUGAACAAGGAUGAGACCCAGAUGUCCCAGCUCCAAUCCUGGCAAAGGAGGACCCAGGGCAGCGUCUGUUGUCCUUAGAUAUUUGCAUGGCUGGGAGAAGCCACAGAAAUUGGCUGGAGAAUGUUUGCAGACCUGGGUCAUCAUCUGAACCAUUUGCUGAGCUCUAAAAACAGGGAUCCCUGGGCUACCAUUCUUUGGAGGAACUAAUGAGAUGUCAUUAAGGGCUUGAGAUGAGAUCAUCCUGAAUUAUCUGGGUACUGGCCCCACAUCUGACGCAAGAUGUCCUCCGAGCAGACACACGGAGGAAAAGGCCAUGUGAUGACACCGCAGAGUGACCUCGAAGAGUGACGCCAGCCUCGGAGGCUGACAACCCUGCAAGGAGGAGGAGUCAAGGGAUCAUUCUGCCUGGAGCCUGCCCACACCUUGCUUUCCGAUUCCAACCCUCCCGAAUUUUUGAGACAGUACAUUUCUGCUGUUUUAAGCCAUCACGUUUGGGCAUAAGGCAUUGUUUUAAAUCUUAAUAUUGUGUGUGAACCCUCCUAUUUGUCUCUGACAAAGAAGACCAGUGGUCUCCAAGUGGGGUACUCAACACAAUGGCAAAUGGGCAAAAAUGAAACGUUGGGAAUGAAAAAAAGAACACAGUUUUCCUUUCUGAACCUUUUCAGGUUCAGAUUGGCAGCAGGCGCUUCCCUCUGUGGGUAUGUCAGAAGGUCCCGAGUCACGCAUGGCACAGGUCGGUCCUUGAAGGGCUCCGCAGGGAGGGGCCAACGGAGGGACCCUCACCCGUGUAUAUUUCCUCCCUGGGAAAUGUGGGCCAUUACGGUCAACAUGCACUUGGAUAAGUGGAUUACAAAUCACAUCAUUUAGUUUGAGCUCAUCUCUACGAAAUAGAAAAAUGGUUUUAAUAGAUUACUGUAGAGAGAUUGAGGAUUAAAGGUAAUACCACUAGUACAAGACUGGGUAAAAAACAGGAAAUGAGCUGAUGGGGCUAGGAUGAACUGUGUUAGCGCAAUGUCAGGGAAAAACGAGGUCUGCUAAGUCAUCAGUCCCCUUGCCCCUAAAACGAAAACUACCAAGAAACUUGAAAGAUGGAUUUAUACUGACUGUAUUAAUGAUGAAACUCACCCUUUGGGUAUAUUGUGCCUGGGAUAUUGGUUAUUAAUAGUAUGGAGUCAUGAAAACUAACACUCAAAAUAUUACUUUUCGCCUUUAAUUCAUCUAGCUAAAUUUUCUGCUUAAUGGAAUGUGUGUAUAAUGAAUACAUAAAUAUGCAUAUAUUAGAGAGGCAAAGUUUUAAAAAAUCAGGGAUUGCUAUGGACUGAAUUGUGGCUCCCAAUUCAUAAAUUGAAGCCCUAACCCCCAACAUGCCUGGAUUUGGAGUUAGGGCUUUUAGAAGGUAAUUAAGAUUAAAUGAGGGCAUGAGGAUGGAGUUGGAUGGCCUUAGACGAAGAGGAGGAGACCCCUCUCUCUCCUUCUCUUUCUCCCCCCUCCAUUCCCACCCCCCCACCCACCCAUGCAUAAGCACAGUCGGUAAGCUGGAAAGAGAGCUCUCACUGGAACCGAUUGUGAUGGCAUAUUCUGAUUUCAGACUUCCAGCCUCGAACCGUGAGAAAUAAAUGUCUGUU
This 2353-nucleotide long non-coding RNA is filed under the name Sus scrofa (pig). RNAcentral describes it as "lncRNA (ENSSSCG00045032573.1)". The record is from RNAcentral. Lineage: Eukaryota; Metazoa; Chordata; Mammalia; Artiodactyla; Suidae.